GCAGCAACAACAACAACAACAACAGGCCCAGACCUUGCAGAGUAGCCAAAAUGCGAGAGGGACUGAUUUGCCUGUCUUCUCGCCGCCGUCGUCUUCUCCGGAAUCAGAAACUCGUGACCAAAUUAACCAGUUGAGCUUGACUCGAGACCCUGAACUUGGUAUCACCAGACUUUCUAGGGUUUCCUCUCAGUUCCUUCCUCCAGAUGGAUCUAGGACAGUAAAGGUCCCAUCGGCCAACUACGAAUUGAGAUACUCGUAUUUGUCGCAGCGAGGUUACUACCCCGAUGCACUCGAUAAGGCUAAUCAGGACAGUUUCUGUAUCCACACUCCUUUUGGGUCGAGUCCAGACGAUCAUUUCUUUGGGGUCUUUGAUGGGCAUGGAGAAUUUGGGGCCCAGUGCUCCCAAUUCGUGAAGCGGAAGCUGUGUGAGAAUCUGCUGAGGGGCACCAAGUUUCACGUAGACGCCGUGGAGGCUUGUCAUUCGGCGUUUUUGACUACCAAUUCGCAGUUGCAAGCUGAUAGUUUGGAUGAUAGCAUGAGCGGUACUACGGCGAUCACUGUGUUGGUCAGGGGAAGGACGAUAUACGUGGCUAAUUCGGGAGAUUCUAGAGCUGUUAUAGCCGAGCGGAGAGGGAAUGAGAUUGCUGCUGUUGAUUUGUCUAUUGAUCAAACUCCUUUUAGAGCUGAUGAGCUGGAGAGGGUCAAGCUUUGUGGUGCAAGAGUGCUUACUUUGGAUCAGAUUGAGGGUUUAAAGAAUCCAGAUGUGCAGUGUUGGGGAAAUGAGGAGGAUGAUGAUGGUGAUCCUCCGAGAUUGUGGGUCCAAAAUGGGAUGUAUCCCGGAACUGCGUUUACAAGGAGUAUUGGGGAUUCCAUUGCUGAGACAAUUGGUGUUGUGUCUAAUCCUGAAAUUGUUGUUUUUGAGCUUACCCCUCAUCAUCCUUUCUUUGUGCUUGCUAGUGAUGGGGUCUUUGAGUUCCUCUCAAGCCAAAAUGUGGUUGAGAUGGUUGAAAAAUAUAAAGAUCCACGGGAUGCUUGUGCUGCAAUUGUAGCUGAAUCUUAUCGACUUUGGCUACAGUAUGAAACUCGUACCGAUGACAUCACUGUGAUAGUUGUGCAUGUUGAUGGACUAACUGAUAGUGCUGUUGGUCAAUCAACAUGUCCAGGUUCCUUCUUACAACCCCCUAUUCCUCAAGUUGUAGAGGUGACAGGGUCAGAAUCUCCUUUAACCUUUAGCUGGAACUCUAGGAACCAUCGUGUGAGGCAUGAUUUAUCUCGGGCUCGGCUUCGUGCAAUUGAGAGUUCACUUGAGAAUGGGAAAAUUUGGGUUCCUCCCUCUCCAGCCCAUAGGAAAACUUGGGAAGAAGAAGCGCACAUCGAGAGGGCAUUGCAUGACCACUUCCUUUUCAGAAAGCUUACUGAUUCUCAGUGCCAUGUUUUGUUGGAUUGCAUGCAAAGAGUUGAAGUCCAGCCAGGAGAAGUUGUAGUUAAACAGGUUACUCCAUUCCCUGCUUUCCUGUUUAAUAAUUUAAGUUGCUUACUUUAUUAGGAUUCUUUAACUGAUACCUGGCGUUGAUGACACUGAUCAAAGGUCAGCAAAAGCUAGGAAAAAAAAUAACGGCCUACAACCAAGUCUGUUUGGUCAAAAAGAUGUGUAAAUGUGUUGCUUAAUAGGAACAUGUAAAUUUAAAAGAACCUCAGUGCUGGGCUCAUGUUCUGAAACACUCUAUAAGCAUGAAAGACUUAAAUAGUCGGCACCUGAAUCAGAAAAUUUGAAUCCAAAGGAUAAGCUGACUGCAACCUUUGCUGGUAAUUUUUAAUCCAUGCAUAUGCAGAUGUAAAUAGAGUAAACAACUUCUGUUUAAUACUGAUAUUAUAUUCCCAAGGCUGAAUUAAACAUUACCAUCUUUAUAAUAUACACAGUAGAAAACCCAUGUACAGUUGACAUAAAUUUGAAUUGAAUGUUAAUCCACAUAAUACGUGGGCUUAUGAUUUGUGAUAUAAUUAAAGGCGUUUAUUCUUCUUGCAUGACAUUAUGGGUAGAGUUUUAUUGCUAAGUGUAGAAUUUUAUUGAUAAUUUUAAUUGGCAGGGUGGUGAAGGUGAUUGCUUUUAUGUUGUUGGUAGUGGAGAAUUUGAGGUCUUUGCCACCCAGGAAGAGAAAAAUGGAGAGGUGCCAAAGGUUUUGCAGCGUUAUACAGCAGAGAAGUUAUCAUCCUUUGGAGAGCUGGCACUGAUGUACAAUAAGCCACUUCAGGCCUCUGUACGUGCUGUAACAAGUGGAACACUAUGGGCUUUAAAGAGAGAAGAUUUUCGUGGAAUUCUGAUGUCAGAAUUUUCUAAUUUGUCAUCCCUGAAGUUGCUACGUACUGUGGAUCUUCUUUCCAGAUUGACAAUCUUGCAGCUCAGUCACAUUGCUGAUUCUCUUUCUGAAGUUUCCUUCUCAGAUGGACAGACAAUAGUUGAUGGGAAUGAGGGGCCCUCUGCGUUGUACAUCAUCCAGAGGGGACAAGUGAGACUCACUUUUGACGCACACAUAUUAGGUAGCCCAAAUGUUGGAAGUCUGAAGUCUGACAAUCAAAAAGAGGAUAAUAAUCUGAUGAGUGGUAAAAUGCUCUCAUUGGAAAAGACAGAGGGUAGCUAUUUUGGUGAGUGGGUGCUUCUGGGUGAAGAUAUUGGUUCAUUAAGUGCAGUUGCUGUGGGUGAUUGCAUGUGUUCCAUCUUAACAAAGGAAAAUUUUGAUUCAGUAGUUGGCCCUUUGACAAAGCUUUCACAGGAUGUUGAAAAGUCAGGGGGUUCAUCUUCAGAUUUUUCCAAGGAAUCUAUGGAAAGUACUGAUAUUUCAGCUUCUCUCAAAGUUCGCCUCUUUGAUCUGGAAUGGAGGACUUGUUUGUAUAGCACUGACUGCAGUGAGAUUGGACUUGUACUUUUGAAGGACUCAGAAAAUUUGCUUAGUUUGAAAAGGUUUUCAAAGCAGAAGAUCAAGAGGCUGGGAAAGGAGGCACAAGUUUUGAAAGAGAAGAAUCUAAUAAAGAGUAUGAAUCCUUCAGCUUGUGUGCCUCAGGUUCUAUGUACUUGUGCAGAUAGAACACAUGCUGGCAUUUUGUUGAAUGCAUGCUUGGCUUGUCCUUUGGCUUCAAUUCUUCACACUGCACUUGAUGAACCAUCUGCACGGUAUUGUGCUGCCUCUGUUGUUAUCGCUUUAGAAGAUUUACACAAGAAUGGUGUUCUCUACAGAGGUGUGUCCCCUGAUGUCUUAAUGUUGGACCAAAAAGGAUUUUUACAGCUAGUAGACUUCAGAUUUGGGAAAAAGUUGUCUGGCGAGAGAACAUUUACAAUUUGUGGAAUGGCAGAUUCUUUGGCUCCAGAGAUAGUCCAGGGAAAAGGGCAUGGUCUUCCUGCUGACUGGUAAUAUCAUUCAUGUUCAAUCUUUAGUUGACCAACUGUUUUAUUUAGCUUGCAGGAAGAAUCAGUAAUUAAUUGGUAAAGCCUGUACUUUUACCUCUCCUGUUAAUAAAAUGUUAACUUGGUGUUAACUUAAGGUUGUUCAUGCAAUUAGUCCCUAAACUUUAACCUUUCUGUCAGUUUGGUCCUUACACUUUUGAUUGCACCAACAUUGUCUCUACACUUAGCAUAAAUCUCCAAUUUCUUACCCUAUCUAUAUGUUGUUCAUUUCUUACCCUAUCUAUAUAUUGUUCAUUCUCGUCUCUCCUCUCCUUAUCUCCCUCUCUCUCUCAAUUAAUUUUUGAAGAGAAAAUUUUCCUAUCUUCUCUUUUGAUUUCUCUCCUAUCCCUGGCUCCCUCUCCCUCAUUUAUUUUUCAGAGAGAGAUGAGAGGGAGGGAGACUGUCCUCGUGAACUUGAUUGUUUUAAUAGGUUAGCUGCUAUCAUUAAUAAGAGAAAUGGGAAUUUGUUGAAGCAGUACUUGAAGGUUUGCUUGCUUUAACCUGCAUGUGCUGGUGGUUUUGUUAAUUAAAUUUCCCCUAUUUUCUAUGAAAGCAUUGUUGAAAUUUCUGCUGCCACCUAAAUAAAGUUUUGUUGGAAAAUUUGCAGGUGGGCAUUGGGAGUCUUGAUCUACUUCAUGCUGCAAGGUGAAAUGCCAUUUGGGUCAUGGAGAGAAAGUGAGCUUGAUACUUAUGCAAAGAUUGCAAAAGGACAAAUAACUCUUCCCCCUACUUUUAGCCUUGAAGCCGCAGAUCUCAUCACAAAGUUGCUUGAAGUUGAUGAAGAUAAAAGACUUGGAUGCCUAGGCCCUGAUUCCGUCAAAAGUCACCCAUGGUUUGCUGGUAUUGACUGGGAGGGGAUUAGAGAUGGAAGCUUUCAUGUUCCUCAUGAUAUAACCUUUCGUAUUACCCAACAUUUGGAAAGUCAUCCUGACGACUGCACUGUUCCUUUAGCCUCCCCAUCGCGAGAGGUAGAUGAUCUUAAUGUUCCUGAAUGGCUUGACGACUGGUAGAAGAAGAAUGAUUGAUGUUUUCUGGUGGGUGGAGUUGCUCCGUUGCAAGACGACUUUUGUCCUUUUUAGCACAAUUAGAGCCUAGGGGACUUGAUGGAUUGAAAAAAGAAAAAGAAAAAUGAAGAGCAAGCUGCAGGUCUUAGUUCGCUUGGAAUUCUAUAUAUUCUUUUGUCAUAAAUUCAUGAUACCAUUGGCGGAUUAUCUCAUGUGGGUAGUAAUUGGACUAACCGAUUCAACAGAGAGGUCAGUUAAUAUAUAUAUAUAUAUAU
Molecule: unclassified non-coding RNA, 4718 nt
Filed under: Hevea brasiliensis (rubber tree)
Lineage: Eukaryota; Viridiplantae; Streptophyta; Magnoliopsida; Malpighiales; Euphorbiaceae
Source: RNAcentral